CAGUCGCCGCGGGAACACGUAGGGUGCGAGCGUUAAUCGGAAUUACUGGGCGUAAAGCGUGCGCAGGCGGUUAUAUAAGACAGAUGUGAAAUCCCCGGGCUCAACCUGGGACCUGCAUUUGUGACUGUAUAGCUAGAGUACGGUAGAGGGGGAUGGAAUUCCGCGUGUAGCAGUGAAAUGCGUAGAUAUGCGGAGGAACACCGAUGGCGAAGGCAAUCCCCUGGACCUGUACUGACGCUCAUGCACGAAAGCGUGGGGAGCAAACAGGAUUAGAUACCCCUGUAGUCCCUGUCUCUUAUAC
This 301-nucleotide ribosomal RNA is filed under the name uncultured bacterium. RNAcentral describes it as "partial 16S ribosomal RNA". It matches the Rfam family "Bacterial small subunit ribosomal RNA", at positions 509 to 807 of the family's 1533-position model. The record is from RNAcentral.